AUCCGGUAAGUAAGGCUACCGCAGGGAUAUGGAUUGCUGCCGCGAAAUGGUGGAGACACCAUUAGAGGGUCAACAGGUGGUAUCGAAGCACAAGGUAUCACUUAAUGCAAUUUCACGCGCGACUUGCCCAUGGCGAGCGCCCUGCCCUGCGAAGCUGAAGCUCGAACGGUG
This 171-nucleotide small RNA is filed under the name bovine gut metagenome. RNAcentral's name for it is "M-box riboswitch (ykoK leader)". It matches the Rfam family "M-box riboswitch aptamer (ykoK leader)", at positions 11 to 156 of the family's 169-position model. Rfam says of the family: M-box riboswitch, also know as ykoK leader is described as a metaloregulatory RNA that sense divalent metals and function as a genetic control element of genes related to divalent metal transport in bacteria. It was first reported upstream of the B.subtilis ykoK gene and genes with related functions in other bacteria. The record is from RNAcentral.